Nilaparvata lugens (brown planthopper) is the source of this 4990-nucleotide RNA transcript. RefSeq lists it as uncharacterized. The record is from RefSeq and is a predicted model, not a curated record. The transcript is spliced from 5 exons. Lineage: Eukaryota; Metazoa; Arthropoda; Insecta; Hemiptera; Delphacidae.
AGGCUUGUAUAUUAAACCUGUCUAUUCAACUGUCACUGGGUUUGGCGGUCAAUCAAGUAAGGUUCAAGGUCGAGCGUCGUUCACAAUUCGUUCUCACGCUGACACUACAUUUUCGUUUGCUGUUGAUGCAUUGGUAGUUGAAAAAAUACUUGACAGAUUACCAUCUCGUGAAGUUGAUGUAAGUUGUCCUACUUGAAAUCAUUGAAAUUGGUGGAUGAUAAAUUUUUCAUCCCUGGAAAAUUGGAUGGUAUUUUGGGUGCCAAAUUCUUUCCCAAUCUUAUCAAUAAUUACCAAUCUCAUCAAGAGGUAGGUUCAGUCAAAUUAGUUGACAGUAAACUGGUUUUAUUGUUAUGGGUCGAGCCCCAGUUUUGAACUCGUCACAAAAUAAGCAAUUCAAUAAUUGUUUGCUCGUCUCUAGUCCACCUUUUAAUGACCUAGUACAGAGGUUUUGGGAGGUUGAAGAUUGUCCUAAAUCGGGGAAUGAUCUUAGACCUGCCGAGUUGGAUUGUGAAAAUAAAUUAUGAUGCAAGCGCUAAAACUACAACUGGUUUGUCAUUGAAUUCGAUUCUCCAUGCUGGUCAGAAGUUACAGACAAACAUUUUCGUGUUGCUAUUGAAUUUUUGUCUUUUUGCAAUAAAUUGGAGUGACAGGUGAUUUGAAACAGAUGUAUCGUCAAAUAUUUGUGAGUGAAUCUUGUCAUGAAUUUCAGCAGGUGUUAUGGAGAUUUUCGGUAGACGAUCCUGUUGAAACCUAUGAAAUAAAUUGUGUCAUAUUUGGUAUCACUUCCUCUCCGUACUUGGCUUUGAGAACUAUCCAUGAGUUGGUUGAGAGGGAAAGCGAUAAUUUUCCGGAAGCUAAAGCUCGCAUUCCUAUUCCUACAGAUAUGUUCAUGGACAAUUUGGUAACGUCUGUCCCUUCUGUAAGUGACACGAAAAAAUUGUGUAGUCAGGCCAAAGAGCUGUUUAAAGCUGGUGGAUUUGAAUUGACUAAGUUUGCGUCGAAUUCGGAGGAGCUGAUGACAUGUCUCAAUGAUAGUGAAAGGUCCUUGUUGUCCAAAGAAUUCAAUAUCGAAAAUUCAUUAGCCAUAUUAGGUAUAGAGUGGCAACCAUUUUCCGAUUCGUUUCGUUUUUUCGUCUCACAGGGUCACUCUAUUGCCACAAAACAGAAUAUAUUAUCCGCUGUGGUGCGAAUCUAUGAUCCUCUAGGACUAGUGGCUCCUCUCACAUUGUUUUUGAAAUGUCUUAUAAAAGAAUUAUGGCAUAUUGGUUCAGAUUAGGAUGAAAAACCGCCUGAUUCUAUUUCAUCUCAGUGGGAGAUAUGUCAAACAGAAUUUCAAUCUUUGUUGAAUUUGUCCAUUCCUUGUCACUUAGGAGUAUUUGUUGGUUCCAAGAUUACAUUAAUUUGUUUUUGCGAUGCAAGUCAGUCUGGCUAUGGAGCUGUGAUCUAUUUGAAAUCACAGGAAGAAAAAUCCCGCCGAUUGUUUAUUGCGUGGUCUUAAACCAAUGGAUCUCAUUAAUCACGAGACAUGGUGGACAGGACCCCACUGGUUGACUAUGGAGGAAAAUCACUGGCCUGUAAAAUUUGAAAUUGAAGAAAUAGAGUGUCCACCUGAAAUGAAAUCUUCAAAUGUUGUCACGGUUGUUCAAUCUGAAAGUGUUUCAGAUAAUGUAAUAUAUAAUUUGAUUGAGAAAUGCUCUGACUAUCAACGUUUGCUUCGUAUCAUGAUACUAGUAUUGAAGGCAGUGCAAAUAUUGCCAAAAGCAGGUGAACUGGAAUUCGAUGCAGCGGAGAGAUAUUUGUGUAGAGUCGUACAGAGAAUUCAUUUUUCACAUGAGCUCGUUCAACUAAAAAAGGGUAAAGAUUGUGCCCCCAAAUUUCAGCAUUUGUCACCAUUUAUAGACAAGGAGUUAAUUCGAGUUGGUGGUUGUUUGCCGAACUCAGACAUGGAUUUUGACAGCUGUCACCCUAUUGUCUUGCCUAAGAGUGAUCCUUUCAUCACCCUUCUUGUCGAUCAUUAUCAUCAAAAAAAUUGUCAUGCUGGUCCUCGUCUAUUAAUGUCGUUAAUAAGACAGAGGUUCUGGAUAUUUUCUGCUUGUGUGGUCAUUCAGAGUCGUAUUCAAAAAUGCAAUAGGUGUUUCCGAUGUCGGCCUAGCGUAACACCUCCCAAAAUGGGUGAUUUGCCUGCAUGCAGGGUACUCCAGAGUAAACCGUUUGGACAGUGUGGUGUUGAUUACAGUGGGCCUGUACGCAUCACAAUGGCUCAAUGCAGAAAUCCACUCAUCCUCAAAGCAUACAUUUGUCUAUUUGUUUGUAUGUCAACAAAGGCUGUGCACAUAGAAUUGGUUUCUGACUUAUCUACACUGAUGUUUCUUUCAGCAUUUCGCCUAUUUUUAUCUCGACACGGACCUUGCCGUGUAAUUUAUUCCGAUAAUGGUACAAAUUUUGUUGGUGUGCAUGCACAGCUGGUACAGUUAGCGAAAUUAUUGGAUUCGUUGGAAUUUCAAAAUACAAUUACUAAUGAGCUGGCUGAUUAUCAAGUGGAUUGGAAAUUCAUUCCCGCUGCUUCCCCAAAUUUCGGUGGAAUUUGGGAGGCCAACAUAAAAUCGGUCAAGUCGCAUUUGAUAAAAGUGAUUGGCGAUCAACUAUUGACCUAUGAGGAGAUGAAUACUGUGUUGGUUCAAGUGGAGGCGGUGUUGAACUCUCGGCCGUUGUGCCCUUUGAGUGAGGAUCCGAACGAACCUCUCACAUUAACUCCGGCUCAUUUUUUGUAGCUGACACUGUUGACGGCUUUUCCAAUGAAGGAUGUGACCGAUAUUCCCGUCAAUCGUCUCACUCAUUACGAACUCAUCGACCAGCUUGUUCAAUCGUUUUGGAAUAGGUGGAGAAAGGAGUAUCUCCAUGAAUUACAAGUACGUGGAAAGUGGUCCAAGUCAUCACCUCCUCUCACUGUUGGAACGGUUGUGAUAGUGGAUCAGCCUAAUCUACCCCCAUUGAAGUGGCCUCUAGGAAUCAUUGAGGAAGUGUUUCCUGGAGCCGAUGGUGUCAUAUGUGUGGCAGUAGUACGUUUAGCUACUGGUCAUUUCAAACGUCCUGCCACCAAAUUGUUUCCAUUGCCCACACAAUAAUUCUUAGGAUAAGAAUUAUUGUUCGUUUUGUUGUGUUAGCAUUUUUUCUUUUGUUGUCUUAAUUUUCUUUCGGUUUGUUUUGUUUUGUCUAGUUUUGGCCAAAGUUGUGGCUGAAAACUACGGUUCAGGGUGGCGGGAAUGGUGACGCCCUUUAGCGUAUUUAGAUUAAGUCUAGUUUAAAUUAGUUUUAAGUCUAGCGGUAGUUGUAAUGGCGAGGCCGGCAGCUGCUGUGCCCUAGCAGAUAAGUUAGUAUUUAGAUUAUUCUAUCGCAUAAUCAUCAGUUGAGGUUGUCGGUUCGGUUCAGGAUUGUUGCUGUUUUUUUCGAUUGUUGCCGUUGAAAUUCAAUUUUACAUGUUCGUCGUUGUGUUAGAAUUAUUAUCAAUAUAUUAACUGUCCCAAGUUGGGGAAAAGUACAGUUUUUCCUUGUUAUUUGUGAAUAUAUAAAUUGAAAUAUUCAACUAGUGCGAUCGGACUUUGAAUUGUACAGCAGUUUAAAGUAAUAGUCAAUAUAGUAAAGUUAUCUUCCAAGCAAUUUUCGGACUGAGCAGUAAUUAAAUUGAUGCCAGAAUUAACAUACAUCAGAUAGGGGUAGCAGAUGUACAAGAGAGGCCAACACCUUUUCCCGACUCCGUCUUCUUCUGCCACAAACCUAAUUCCAAUUCCUGGAUUAAGUUGGUAUUUAGUAUUUGAAGAAAACUAUGUGCUGGUCUUAUCAGUCUGGGGGGACUGAUAUCGAAAAUCAUUAGGCUACCAUUUACAAGUAUGAGCCAUGGCUUUGUUAAACCUGGUACUGAGAAGAUUGGGUUUCAAAUUUAAGAUGCACAACCGGUGGAGGGCAGAACCUCAAGGCUCACAAGUUUGUGAGCAGUGGCGAGGAGGAGAAGGCUGCUCAGCCCUCCUGGGCGGGGUGGGGGAAGGGUCGCCCCGACGCUCCUCACCACUACUUGUAAUGUGGUGGGGAAAGGGGAACCCGCUCCCCCAUCCCAACGGAUCCUAGGUGGGGGGCGCCUCCAUAGAAGCACAGACGGUCAGUUGAAACAUUAUUCUGAAAUAAUGUUCAUUAAUUGGUUGACACUAGUUGUUUGCAACUAUCACAAACGAAUUGCUCAUAAGACAACCGUCAUUAACAGUAGCAUUUCACCGUUAAAUUUGACAAAGUGCUUGUGAACCCGGGCCCAUGAAUAGACGACCUAUACAUACAACAGGGUUCGCUGAUGACAUACCAGUCCCUGAUUUACAAGGAUGCGUAUGCCGUGGAUGGACUCUGCGGUCGCAUGUUUGUAUUUGUGCAGCGUGGCGAAUACGUGUUGCAAACUCUUGUCAAAAAUCAAAAUGUGUGGAAAAUUCCAGUGUCCUGCUCCACCAAGGUCAUCUUUGGCGGCUAAGAAGACGUUUGAUGAAUCUGGACAUUAUGUAUGACGACGAAAAUCCCCAUUGGGUGAGAAGUGGACAGAUGAAGUGGCAGCUGAAAUUUGGACAGAUCACUUCAACAGAACUGCCAAAAAUGGAAACCCAAUCUGCACAAAAUACAUGGAUUUAGCACUAUAAAUGAAAUAAUAUGGAUUUUUUAGAUGAAAAUUUGGGAGCGCACUAGGAAAGUUGAACAUUCCAUCUUGUGGAUUAAAAAUUAAAAAGCGAAUCAUUAUUAUUUCUUAUAUUUGUUUUUAUAUAAAUGAAUUCAAGCUAAAAUGAUAAUGAUUCAUGAGUAUAAUUUUGAUUGUGGAUUUGAGUGGAAUUUUUAAUAUUUGUGGCGAUUAUUUAGAAUAAGAAAUUACGAAUAUACGAAUUUAGAAAAAGUGAAAUACUUGUUUGUGUACUUAACAUAAGUCGUCUACUUGUGGAAAGCCUGAUUAAACAUAAUUUCA